This 246-nucleotide ribosomal RNA is filed under the name uncultured bacterium. Its description in RNAcentral is "partial 16S ribosomal RNA". It matches the Rfam family "Bacterial small subunit ribosomal RNA", at positions 15 to 240 of the family's 1533-position model. The record is from RNAcentral.
GAUCCUGGCUCAGGACGAACGCUGGCGGCGUGCCUAACACAUGCAAGUCGAACGGAACUGUUUUGAAAGAUUUCUUCGGAAUGAAUUUGAUUUAGUUUAGUGGCGGACGGGUGAGUAACGCGUGAGUAACCUGCCUUCAAGAGGGGGGAUAACAUUCUGAAAAGAAUGCUAAUACCGCAUGACAUAUCGGAAUCACAUGGUUUUGAUAUCAAAGAUUUUAUCGCUUGAAGAUGGACUCGCGUCCGA